This 1361-nucleotide unclassified non-coding RNA is filed under the name Pomacea canaliculata. RNAcentral's name for it is "probable G-protein coupled receptor B0563.6, transcript variant X3". Lineage: Eukaryota; Metazoa; Mollusca; Gastropoda; Architaenioglossa; Ampullariidae. The record is from RNAcentral.
UUAAAACCUCGUUAAAAGAACUAUAAUCGCAAUCUGAAAUGUUCAAUCUCUUUUAACAAUAUUCCCUGCACACGAAUGUCCCUACACGAGGACAACCACUCUCCCCCACUAGCCAUGACAGGGGAGGCUAUUCUGCCUGAGUUUCGCUUGUCUCCCCCACGUCCCCCUCCCGCACUGCUGCACAGCAGGCAACAGGUGGUGAGCGGGCGGGUGGCGGCGCUGUGCAGCAUCUACCUGUGACUGGCUGCUGAUGGCGGUGAGGGCGUCGUUGCCCACGUCUGGCGGCCAGUCGCACAGCUUCACGCGCCGCCAACAAAAUCUUUGCCACAAGCACGCGGCCAUGACAGCGGCUCUCUGAGCUCCGUGUCACAGGUACCCUGUCUCCAACACCAACACCAACACACCCGGCACCACGACUAGACAGCCAGCUUCUCCGCACUGCCACAUGGCAACAAGUUCGCAACCCUUUGGCAGCAAGUGAGUGAUCGCGGCCAUAACCAUGCCGUCCAUCUUCAACGUCAGCCAGUUUGACCAACCCUACGACUUCCUGCACAGCAGCACCAACAGAUCCGACUACGACAAGUCAGUCGACAUCCUGACGACGACUGCAGCUUCUUUUAGUCCAUUUUUCGCCGAAAAUACUUUCCCUUCCGCCCUCGACAACGACACAGCGUUGGUCAACUUUUCCGUCGGGAAACUUCAGGAGGGGAGGAACCUGACGAGCCUGCUCAGCAACCCCACCAACCUCCCCGUCCCCACGAUUAGUAAAUACGCCGUGCCCGUCGUCUGCGUCAUGGGCGUCGUCCUCAACUGCCUCAACCUCCGGGUGCUGUCGGAGCGAUGCCUGAAGGAAUCGCCAUACACUUACCUGUCGGCCAUGGCUGUGCUGUGCCUACUCAACCUCGUUAUGAUCUUCAUCCACAACAUCUUCACGAACUUCCUCCUCAUCAUCCGUUUCAACUUGUCUUGGCUGGUGUUCCAGAUUUACAUCUACUACCCAACCAUCAACAUCUGUGCCAACUCCAUCAUGUGGCUGACGACGACGCUGACUAUCGAGCGCUUCCUCUUUGUGUGCUACCCGCUGUGGGCCCGCGCUACGUGCGACCGCCGUGCAGCUAAGGUACUGCGCAUGCGCCACACCACGUGAUCAACAACGUCUGCUUCAUGCACAUUUCCCUCCCGUAAAUAUGAAGACGUGGUUUGAAUGGCGAAGAAGACAGUGUGAAAAGAAAGAUGAAGGUCUGCAUCAUCGUGGCGCUGCUGACGUUGCUGAACAUUCCGCGCUUCUUCCUCUAUCGCCUGGUCCUGCUGAAGCCUAACAAAUAUGCCCCUACCAACACCACCUUCCGCCUCAGCAAAGC